This 639-nucleotide long non-coding RNA is filed under the name Penaeus japonicus. RNAcentral's name for it is "uncharacterized LOC122259520". The record is from RNAcentral. Lineage: Eukaryota; Metazoa; Arthropoda; Malacostraca; Decapoda; Penaeidae.
CCAGAGACCCCAGAGAGGGAUGUGGACAGGGACCGUGACAGGGAAAGAGACCGCACUACCGCAGCAACACAAGCUCAGACACCAGGGAUCCACGGUCAUCUCGUUCUGGUUUCCAACAAGACAAGGACUUCAGAAGUGGAGGUAAUCCUCCACCUCCAGUUGGUGCCCCAUCCCAGCCACCUCCUCGGGGAGUACCACCACCGACAGGAGCGCCGCCCACUCUGCCACCCAGUCUGGCCGGCCAGGAUCAAGAGAAGGCCAGCUUGAUCAUGCAAGUAUUGCAGCUGUCGGAUGAUCAGAUCAAGAUGCUGCCCCCAGAACAGCGCGCCUCCAUUCUCCAGCUGAAGGAACAAAUCCAGCGUUCACAACAUUAAAGAUUUUUGCCAUGGUCCAAACACGCUCAUAGCCCAGAUGAAUGUGGGGUUACCAGAUUCCAUUCUGAAUUUAUUUUGACUGCUUGCAACUUUGAGACUUCUGUUGCAAAUUAGCUUAGUAAGACAUAAGGAAUUUCACAUUUAAGUCAGCACUUAUGGUUUGAUGAUGAUAAUAAUUUGUAUGGUAGAUUAUUUUUAAUAGCUAUUUACAGCCAAUUGAUAAUUUUGUUUCGAUAUGAAAGACAUUUUAUUUUGAGGUGAGUGA